RNAcentral lists this ribosomal RNA (884 nucleotides) under Trichophaea hybrida. RNAcentral describes it as "eukaryotic LSU rRNA". It matches the Rfam family "Eukaryotic large subunit ribosomal RNA", at positions 66 to 967 of the family's 3401-position model. The record is from RNAcentral. Lineage: Eukaryota; Fungi; Ascomycota; Pezizomycetes; Pezizales; Pyronemataceae.
CAACAGGGAUUGCCUUAGUAACUGCGAGUGAAGCGGCAAAAGCUCAAAUUUGAAAUCUGGCGUCUUUGGCGUCCGAAUUGUAAUUUGGAGAGGCAACUUCGGAGAUGGUGCUGUCCUAAGUCCCUUGGAACAGGAUGACAUAGAGGGUGAGAUCCCCGUGCCUGGAUGGCUGUCCGUCUCCAUGUGAAUUGCCUUCGAAGAGUCGAGUUGUUUGGGAAUGCAGCUCAAAAUGGGUGGUAAAUUUCAUCUAAAGCUAAAUAUUGGCGAGAGACCGAUAGCGCACAAGUAGAGUGAUCGAAAGAUGAAAAGCACUUUGAAAAGAGAGUUAAAAAGUACGUGAAAUUGUUGAAAGGGAAGCGCUUGAGACCAGACUCGAUUUGUGGCGAUCAGCUGUGCUUCUGUACGGUGCACUCGUCAUGGAUUGGGCCAGCAUCGGUUCUGACGGUGGGAUAAAAGGUUGAGGAAUGUGUCUUCCUUCGGGGAGUGUUAUAGCCUCACUCACAAUGCCACCAGCUGGGACCGAGGACCGCGCUUCGGCUAGGAUGCUGGCGUAAUGGUCUUAAGCGACCCGUCUUGAAACACGGACCAAGGAGUCUAACAUCUAUGCGAGUGUUCGGGUGGAAAACCCUUGCGCGUAAUGAAAGUGAACGGAGGUGGGAACCCGCAAGGGUGCACCAUCGACCGAUCCUGAUGUCUUCGGAAGGAUUUGAGUAAGAGCAUAGCUGUUGGGACCCGAAAGAUGGUGAACUAUGCCUGAAUAGGGUGAAGCCAGAGGAAACUCUGGUGGAGGCUCGCAGCGGUUCUGACGUGCAAAUCGAUCGUCAAAUUUGGGUAUAGGGGCGAAAGACUAAUCGAACCAUCUAGUAGCUGGUUCCUGCCGAAGU